CCAGAGUGGUGGCCCCCAGUAUGGGGGUGGUUCUUCAUCUGCUCUUUAUGCUCUUUCGGAUGUCAGGGUAUCGCCGAAGUCCCAGACACAUUGGGCGCGAUGUUCCCUUGUAAGCAAAGGGAUCUUGGUUUCAAAGAGAAACAAAAGUAUUGGCCAAGUAUGACCAACAUUCCUUGUUUCUUUUUGAGACUAAGAUCCCUUUGCUUAGAUAUCCAUAAGUUCAGUUACAGUCAAUUUUACAAUUUUAAGAAUACUAUUGAAAGAUUAAUCAUAGUAAGUUCCAAGCAAACCAAAAUUGAGCAAUUUUUCACUAUCCAAGAUUGAU
Molecule: long non-coding RNA, 325 nt
Filed under: Androctonus crassicauda
Lineage: Eukaryota; Metazoa; Arthropoda; Arachnida; Scorpiones; Buthidae
Source: RNAcentral